RNAcentral lists this long non-coding RNA (668 nucleotides) under Homo sapiens (human). The record is from RNAcentral. Lineage: Eukaryota; Metazoa; Chordata; Mammalia; Primates; Hominidae.
CGCCAUUCUCCUGCGUCAGCCUCCUGAGUAGCCGGGACUACCGGCACCCACCACCACGCCCGGCUAAUUUUUUUGUAUUUUUAGUAGAGACGAGGUUUCACCGUGUUAGCCAGGAUGGUCUCGAUCGCCUGACCUUGUGAUCCGCCUGCCUCGGCCUCCCAAAGUGAUGGGAUUACAGGCAUGAGCCACCGCGCCCGGCCUUAAGAUCUUCACAUCACCAGUAUGAUGGAAUUGAAGCCCAAGAUUGGUAAUGUUAUGAUGGCGUUUCGCUCUUAUUGCCCAGGCUGGAGUACAAUGGCACGAUCUUGGCUCACCACAACCUCUGCUUCCUGGGUUCGAGUGAUUCUCCUGCCUCAGCCUCCCAAGUAGCUGGGAUUACAGGCAUGUGCCACCAAGCCCAGCUAAUUUUUGUAUUUUUAGUAGAGAUGGGGUUUCUCCAUGUUGUUCAGGCUGGUCUCCAACUCUCGACCUCAGGUGAUCUGCCUGCCUCGGCUUCCCAAAGUGCUGGGAUUACAGAUGUGAGCCACUGCACCUGGCCAAAGUGAAGUCUUAAUUCCUAAUUACUUUGUCUCUUCUUGUUAUUAACUUCUUUUCACUUCUUGAAUUUACUGUACUAACUGCACCAAAAGAAUAAUUUCUUGAUUAUAUAAUUCAUGCAGAAAUAAAAA